Salmo salar (Atlantic salmon) is the source of this 92-nucleotide non-coding RNA. Lineage: Eukaryota; Metazoa; Chordata; Actinopteri; Salmoniformes; Salmonidae. The record is from Rfam.
CCCCCUGUGGCUCAGUUGGUAGAGCAUGGUGUUUGCAACGCCAGCAUGGCGUGUGCAACGCCAGGGUUGUGGGUUUGAUUCCCACGGGGGGC